UCUAAUAUGGCAGAUUAGUGCAUUGGAUUUAAACCCCAAUUAUAAAGUUUUUCUUUUUUUAGAA
Molecule: transfer RNA, 64 nt
Filed under: Hystrichopsylla weida qinlingensis
Lineage: Eukaryota; Metazoa; Arthropoda; Insecta; Siphonaptera; Hystrichopsyllidae
Description: tRNA-Leu
Rfam family: tRNA
About the family: Transfer RNA (tRNA) molecules are approximately 80 nucleotides in length. Their secondary structure includes four short double-helical elements and three loops (D, anti-codon, and T loops). Further hydrogen bonds mediate the characteristic L-shaped molecular structure. tRNAs have two regions of fundamental functional importance: the anti-codon, which is responsible for specific mRNA codon recognition, and the 3' end, to which the tRNAs corresponding amino acid is attached (by aminoacyl-tRNA synthetases). tRNAs cope with the degeneracy of the genetic code in two manners: having more than one tRNA (with a specific anti-codon) for a particular amino acid; and 'wobble' base-pairing, i.e. permitting non-standard base-pairing at the 3rd anti-codon position.
Source: RNAcentral